UACGAAGGGGGCUAGCGUUGUUCGGAAUCACUGGGCGUAAAGGGUGCGUAGGCGGAUUCUUAAGUCAGGGGUGAAAUCCCGAGGCUCAACCUCGGAACUGCCUUUGAUACUGGGGAUCUUGAGUCCGGAAGAGGUGAGUGGAACUGCGAGUGUAGAGGUGAAAUUCGUAGAUAUUCGCAAGAACACCAGUGGCGAAGGCGGCUCACUGGUCCGGAACUGACGCUGAGGCACGACAGCGUGGGGAGCAAACAGG
Molecule: ribosomal RNA, 253 nt
Filed under: uncultured Pseudomonadota bacterium
Lineage: Bacteria; Pseudomonadati; Pseudomonadota
Description: uncultured proteobacterium partial 16S ribosomal RNA
Rfam family: Bacterial small subunit ribosomal RNA
Source: RNAcentral